This 596-nucleotide ribosomal RNA is filed under the name uncultured bacterium. RNAcentral describes it as "bacterial SSU rRNA". It matches the Rfam family "Bacterial small subunit ribosomal RNA", at positions 223 to 810 of the family's 1533-position model. The record is from RNAcentral.
GGAUGGACCCGCGGUGCAUUAGCUAGUUGGUGAGGUAACGGCUCACCAAGGCCACGAUGCAUAGCCGACCUGAGAGGGUGAUCGGCCACACUGGGACUGAGACACGGCCCAGACUCCUACGGGAGGCAGCAGUAGGGAAUCUUCGGCAAUGGACGAAAGUCUGACCGAGCAACGCCGCGUGAGUGAAGAAGGUUUUCGGAUCGUAAAACUCUGUUGUUAGAGAAGAACAAGGAUGAGAGUAGAACGUUCAUCCCUUGACGGUAUCUAACCAGAAAGCCACGGCUAACUACGUGCCAGCAGCCGCGGUAAUACGUAGGUGGCAAGCGUUGUCCGGAUUUAUUGGGCGUAAAGCGAGCGCAGGCGGUUUCUUAAGUCUGAUGUGAAAGCCCCCGGCUCAACCGGGGAGGGUCAUUGGAAACUGGGAGACUUGAGUGCAGAAGAGGAGAGUGGAAUUCCAUGUGUAGCGGUGAAAUGCGUAGAUAUAUGGAGGAACACCAGUGGCGAAGGCGGCUCUCUGGUCUGUAACUGACGCUGAGGCUCGAAAGCGUGGGGAGCGAACAGGAUUAGAUACCCUGGUAGUCCACGCCGUAAACGAU